Molecule: ribosomal RNA, 506 nt
Filed under: uncultured bacterium
Lineage: Bacteria
Description: partial 16S ribosomal RNA
Rfam family: Bacterial small subunit ribosomal RNA
Source: RNAcentral
AUUGAACGCUGGCGGUAGGCCUAACACAUGCAAGUCGAACGGCAGCACAGAGGAGCUUGCUCCUUGGGUGGCGAGUGGCGGACGGGUGAGGAAUACAUCGGAAUCUACUCUGUCGUGGGGGAUAACGUAGGGAAACUUACGCUAAUACCGCAUACGACCUACGGGUGAAAGCAGGGGAUCUUCGGACCUUGCGCGAUUGAAUGAGCCGAUGUCGGAUUAGCUAGUUGGCGGGGUAAAGGCCCACCAAGGCGACGAUCCGUAGCUGGUCUGAGAGGAUGAUCAGCCACACUGGAACUGAGAAACGGGCCAGACUCCUACGGGAGGCAGCAGUGGGGAAUAUUGGACAAUGGGCGCAAGCCUGAUCCAGCCAUACCGCGUGGGUGAAGAAGGCCUUCGGGUUGUAAAGCCCUUUUGUUGGGAAAGAAAUCCAUCUGGUUAAUACCCGGGUGGGAUGACGGUACCCAAAGAAUAAGCACCGGCUAACUUCGUGCCAGCCGCCGCGGUAA